RNAcentral lists this ribosomal RNA (209 nucleotides) under uncultured bacterium. RNAcentral describes it as "partial 16S ribosomal RNA". It matches the Rfam family "Bacterial small subunit ribosomal RNA", at positions 1283 to 1500 of the family's 1533-position model. The record is from RNAcentral.
CAGUCUUAGUUCGGAUUGUAGGCUGCAACUCGCCUACAUGAAGUCGGAAUUGCUAGUAAUCGCGGAUCAGCAUGCCGCGGUGAAUACGUUCCCGGGCCUUGUACACACCGCCCGUCAAGCCAUGGAAGCCGGGGGUGCCUGAAGUGCGCUGCCGCGAGGAGCGCCCUAGGGUAAAACCGGUGACUGGGGCUAAGUCGUAACAAGGUAAC